AGAGUUUGAUCAUGGCUCAGAUUGAACGCUGGCGGCAGGCCUAACACAUGCAAGUCGAACGGUAACAGGAAACAGCUUGCUGUUUCGCUGACGAGUGGCGGACGGGUGAGUAAUGUCUGGGAAACUGCCUGAUGGAGGGGGAUAACUACUGGAAACGGUAGCUAAUACCGCAUAACGUCGCAAGACCAAAGAGGGGGACCUUCGGGCCUCUUGCCAUCAGAUGUGCCCAGAUGGGAUUAGCUAGUAGGUGGGGUAACGGCUCACCUAGGCGACGAUCCCUAGCUGGUCUGAGAGGAUGACCAGCCACACUGGAACUGAGACACGGUCCAGACUCCUACGGGAGGCAGCAGUGGGGAAUAUUGCACAAUGGGCGCAAGCCUGAUGCAGCCAUGCCGCGUGUAUGAAGAAGGCCUUCGGGUUGUAAAGUACUUUCAGCGGGGAGGAAGGGAGUAAAGUUAAUACCUUUGCUCAUUGACGUUACCCGCAGAAGAAGCACCGGCUAACUCCGUGCCAGCAGCCGCGGUAAUACGGAGGGUGCAAGCGUUAAUCGGAAUUACUGGGCGUAAAGCGCACGCAGGCGGUUUGUUAAGUCAGAUGUGAAAUCCCCGGGCUCAACCUGGGAACUGCAUCUGAUACUGGCAAGCUUGAGUCUCGUAGAGGGGGGUAGAAUUCCAGGUGUAGCGGUGAAAUGCGUAGAGAUCUGGAGGAAUACCGGUGGCGAAGGCGGCCCCCUGGACGAAGACUGACGCUCAGGUGCGAAAGCGUGGGGAGCAAACAGGAUUAGAUACCCUGGUAGUCCACGCCGUAAACGAUGUCGACUUGGAGGUUGUGCCCUUGAGGCGUGGCUUCCGGAGCUAACGCGUUAAGUCGACCGCCUGGGGAGUACGGCCGCAAGGUUAAAACUCAAAUGAAUUGACGGGGGCCCGCACAAGCGGUGGAGCAUGUGGUUUAAUUCGAUGCAACGCGAAGAACCUUACCUGGUCUUGACAUCCACGGAAGUUUUCAGAGAUGAGAAUGUGCCUUCGGGAACCGUGAGACAGGUGCUGCAUGGCUGUCGUCAGCUCGUGUUGUGAAAUGUUGGGUUAAGUCCCGCAACGAGCGCAACCCUUAUCCUUUGUUGCCAGCGGUCCGGCCGGGAACUCAAAGGAGACUGCCAGUGAUAAACUGGAGGAAGGUGGGGAUGACGUCAAGUCAUCAUGGCCCUUACGACCAGGGCUACACACGUGCUACAAUGGCGCAUACAAAGAGAAGCGACCUCGCGAGAGCAAGCGGACCUCAUAAAGUGCGUCGUAGUCCGGAUUGGAGUCUGCAACUCGACUCCAUGAAGUCGGAAUCGCUAGUAAUCGUGGAUCAGAAUGCCACGGUGAAUACGCUCCCGGGCCUUGUACACACCGCCCGUCACACCAUGGGAGUGGGUUGCAAAAGAAGUAGGUAGCUUAACCUUCGGGAGGGCGCUUACCACUUUGUGAUUCAUGACUGGGGUGAAGUCGUAACAAGGUAACCGUAGGGGAACCUGCGGUUG
RNAcentral lists this ribosomal RNA (1522 nucleotides) under metagenome. RNAcentral's name for it is "bacterial SSU rRNA". It matches the Rfam family "Bacterial small subunit ribosomal RNA". The record is from RNAcentral.